CGGAGCCGCCCCGCCGCGCCUUCGCCGCCUCCCCGGCUGCAGCUUGGCCGCCGCCACUCCGCCUCCGCCACGCCGCAACUCCGCCGGAGUCGCAAGUAAGUUUCUAUACUCAGAGACCAAGCAAACAAAUUUCAUAUUCUGCCAGCAUAUACUCAGAGACAAAUAGCUGCCAUCAGGAUUCCUGAAAUUUAUGAGGACAUAUUGAAUUAGUGAGGAUUUCAUAAAUUUUUAGUCCAAGCAACUCAUACAUUUGAAGUUUUGUUGCUUACCUUCCCAUCCCAUUGUGUUGCUAUGCUCCUGAAGUUGCCUAACUACAGGAAAAGGAGGCCAAAGUAUCGGCAGCGAUGUUUUGUUUUGUGAGAACUACUCAAAUAUAUAAUCUAAAUAUACUAGCUGGAUGUUCGGCUACAUUCAUUAUGCCUUUCGGUAAACUUGAUGUUGGAUGAUACCACUGGAUGUAUUUCAGUCUUCUUGAUUGUUUUUGCAUUUGCUCAAAAUCUUUUCACCCAGAGAUUAUUAUGUGGGCUGCUUCAGUCUGUAGGUAAGACUCGCAAAAAAAAGUCUGUAGAUACUUCUAUAAUCAACAGAGAAGAAAAAAACUAAAAUUAGAGCUCUAUAUAACUGUACUGUUUACAUUGAGCAUGACACUGUUUUAAUUUUCAGUGUGGGCUGCCUGCUUGCAGCAGCAGUUUUGCAUCUUUGGCAAAUACAGAAUAUCCACCGUUGUUGUUGACCUCCCAGAAUGUUUACACCUUCGUCAUGCUUUACCUGCCAGUAAUUGUCAACAAUGUGUCAAGUCAGUACACAUUUUCUGCUGAUUGCAAGAACGGCAGCGACCAUGUGACUGAAGUGAGCAAACACGUCCAGGUCCUUUUGGCAUGGUGAGUGUCCUCCCAGCUAGAACAGUUAGAGGUGAAGCAGAGAGCACCGCCAGAAAUAUAAAGCUGCUGAAAGAAAUUACAAAAGCACAAGAACAACUUAAUAUAAUCCGAAUGAUCAAGCGAAAAGAAUGCAAACAAACUCGCUGGAUGUUCAUCCACUGAAUAGUAGGAGUGCUUUAGUAGUAGUAUCGAUAGAUUAGAGAUAUAAGUGCAGAAAUUAUGAAAGUAAGCCUCCUGGGAUUUGUCACACAAGGGGAAACAAAGAGAAGAGGAAAACGCCUACGAGAAUGAAAUACUGGAAGGUCGACAAGUGAUUUCCAUUGCUCACCUCGGCCUGCUAUGAACCUGUGACCGUGACAGUGCCGCCCGUUCUCCUACCCGGCGUCCUAUUCCUCCAUCCCACGUUGCUUACAUGUAACCGUGAAAAGUUAGUUGCUUACAUGUCCAGAUUGGUACUGCAAAGAUCAUGUUGCUGGCAUCCCAUGAAUGCCAGUUGUGUGAUUGUUUCUAGCAAUUUUCGGAGCCUUAUGAUCGUUAUGCAUUUUUGCCUGCAGUUCAUACAUAAUAUUUCCUAUGUCUGCCUUUGGAAGGUUUGCUGCCAUACUAUCGAUUGACAGUGCUUUAUGUGUUCUUCUUGACCGUUGGUGGACUCUAUAUGAAUACUGCUCCAAGAAAUCAAUCCUACCGCCCAUCGCCGCACUGAUCGCUAUGGCAUUUUGGGGGGCGCUUCCUGGUAAUACUAGGCGUCUAUUCUGAUAUUACUGGCGACCAUUAUAGAAUUUUAUUUGUGGUUUCUGCAAUUUACACUGAAAUUUAGCUAAUCAGUAUAUCAUGGUUUUACAGUUCGCAUAAUGAGUAAAUAAUAUACAUUCCAAUGGGAGGACAAACUUUUGAUGCUGGUGAAUUCUUUACAAUCAUUCCAAUGGCAGCACAAACUGAAAGUAUUUAUGUAGGCACAGAUCAUUGCUACACCAGAAUAAAUUGAGUAUUGAGUAAAUAAGACGCCCAGUUUUAUAAUACAGUCUACCGGUGCUUUCAUUGUGGUUUCACGGUAAUACCGCCAUGCCCUCCUUCUGUUAUGAUUGACACAAGGAGUGUCUUACUUGAAAUUUACAGAAUGGUAAGCGCUAUAAUUUAUUGGCGAUCUUGUGCUGUUGACUGACCCAAACAAGGUACUGUUGAAUUGAGGUCUUGUAAAAGUUUUUUUAAACUCAUGCAUGAGUACAAGUUGAACUAUUUGUAGUAUAUCUUCAUCGUUUCUUAUGAAGUGGAUGGGAGAAAGUGAUAACUGGUCACAGACAUCAUUUGGAAUAAUGUUGGACUCAGGCAUAGUGGUCCCUGAUCUAACGAGCAAAGGGAAACCAUUUACGGAUUUGGUUGUGUCGCAAAUAGCCCGGCAUGCUCUCAUGUAAUUCUUGAUCUACCGCGGAUUAUCCUUUUCUAUAUUAAUGGAACGUCGCACAGUUCUCUUGCGCAUUCAGAAAAAAAUAGUUUUGCAACCUUUAAAUUUUGAUGAAGCCUUUGAUAAUUCUUUUUUAUCUUCUAAUUCUCUUUUGACUGUGCUUAACGUACGACUUACCUAAUAUUAUGAUUUUGCACCACGGUUUCCCUUCGCUGUUUGUAUAUGUUGGGACUAUUGAUUUUUUUAAGUGAUUUUCAGUUCCUCACAACAGAUUUCUUUUGGAGUUUUUACUGAUCAGUAUGUUGGAGAUCUGCAGAUGACACUUCUUUAUAUGCAAGUGCAAAAAGAUUUCAGGUUCUGUCCUCUUUUCUUUGUUGGAACUAUCAGGUCGCGUCCUCUUGCAAUGCAAGUAUUGUUGAGGACUUGAGGCUCAGAUUUCACUUUUUGGGUUUUUUCUUCCGAGGAAAAAAAAACUUAAUAUUGGUAUGUCCUAGACCUUUUCAUUUGAACUUCAUGAUGCCCUGAUAGAUAUAACAGUUAUUUUGUUUCAGUAAGGAGGAAAAAAAUUGAAUUUGUUUGUCUGACAUUACAUAAUCUCUAAAUAUUGCGGCCGUAUCUUAUAUCUUAUCUUUUAGUUUCUCUUUGCCACUAAGCACAAAAUUUUUGUAGGCUACGAAGCACUAGCAUAGUACUUAUAAUCUUCCAAUCUGGUUAUGCAAAAGGUGAAUCUGUAUCCAUUAAACUUUGUUAAAUAGUAGGUCCUCUUAACAGUAUGCCUAAAACUAAUUGUUUCUCUGUGUCUAUAGUAUGUUAGUCCAGCUCAAUGGAUGUUCUUGACUAACUGCUAGCUUUAUUUGGUCUUAUCUGAUUCUCUGGUGUUAAUCCACUCCUACAUUGCCAAACUCAGUAUGAUUAAACAUGGAGUAUGUUAUAUACUUUGAUGAUAUUUUCAGAUUUUAAAUACUCCUAUAUGACAAGCACAAUCCCUGGUACUAAUGCUUACUCUUUUUAUUUCGGAUGUUCAAGUGUAGCAUCUAUUGACCAAUGCAAGCUCCAUCAGGAUGUGUGUAGUGUCCAUAAGUUUCUUUUUGGCCAGUACAGUGAGAAAAAUAUAUGGAACGUACAACAAUCCUACAUGAAACAUUCUGAACAAAGUUCUAUAGGGCCAACUUGCAUUUUCAUGUCAAGCAUGGCUGAUUAUCAGAGGGCAAGGAAAGAUGGAGUAGUAGAAUCAUUGCCUACGAUGAGUUCAACGGAUCGAUGUGCACAUUAACAAGCAUUGCCUGCUGUCUGCCUUCGCCUACUUUGACGAGGACGACAGCGGGUACAUAACCGUUGACCCGCUAGAAGAGGUGUGCUGGGAGUACAACACAGGCUGACGUCGGCAUCACGACAUCAUUAGGGAGGUCGGCAAUGAGAACAUGCGAUGUUCAAAUUGACUAUGGGGAGUUCGUGGCAAUGGUGAAGGGGAUCAUCGAGAAUGGAAGGCUGACCAUCAUUCUCCAUGGAGCAGACGACCUCAGCUAGCCUUUGAUUGAAAUAUUCAUAUACAACACACUAUCUUUGUUCACAUUGUGCUAUAGAUGAUAUCAAUAUUUUUAACCCAAGUCAUUAUUCAUUUUAUUUGUGUAAAGUAACUGAGAAACAAAUUCAUCUAUGUGAUUUGCAUGGUUGCAUCCGUAUGCAAUUUAAGCUGACAUAUUUUUUCAGC
Long non-coding RNA from Triticum aestivum (bread wheat), 3994 nucleotides. RefSeq lists it as uncharacterized. The record is from RefSeq and is a predicted model, not a curated record. Lineage: Eukaryota; Viridiplantae; Streptophyta; Magnoliopsida; Poales; Poaceae. The transcript has 3 exons.